RNAcentral lists this ribosomal RNA (233 nucleotides) under uncultured bacterium. Its description in RNAcentral is "partial 16S ribosomal RNA". It matches the Rfam family "Bacterial small subunit ribosomal RNA", at positions 118 to 347 of the family's 1533-position model. The record is from RNAcentral.
UGAGCAAUCUGCCCUUCUCAUCGGAAUAAGCGUUGGAAACGACGUCUAAUGCCGAAUACGACCUCCUUUCGCAUGAUCGGAGGUGGAAAGCUCCGGCGGAGAGGGAUGAGCUCGCGGCCUAUCAGCUAGUUGGUGUGGGUAAUGGCCCACCAAGGCGACGACGGGUAGCCGGCCUGAGAGGGUGACCGGCCACACUGGGACUGAGACACGGCCCAGACUCCGUACGGGAGCAG